This 520-nucleotide ribosomal RNA is filed under the name uncultured bacterium. Its description in RNAcentral is "bacterial SSU rRNA". It matches the Rfam family "Bacterial small subunit ribosomal RNA", at positions 120 to 674 of the family's 1533-position model. The record is from RNAcentral.
GGGAAUCUACCUAGUUCUACGGAACAACUGAUGGAAACGUCAGCUAAUACCGUAUACGCCCUACGGGGGAAAGAUUUAUCGGAAUUAGAUGAGCCCGCGUAAGAUUAGCUAGUUGGUGGGGUAAUGGCCUACCAAGGCGACGAUCUUUAGCUGGUCUGAGAGGAUGAUCAGCCACACUGGGACUGAGACACGGCCCAGACUCCUACGGGAGGCAGCAGUGGGGAAUAUUGGACAAUGGGCGCAAGCCUGAUCCAGCCAUGCCGCGUGAGUGAUGAAGGCCUUAGGGUUGUAAAGCUCUUUCAGUAGGGAAGAUAAUGACGGUACCUACAGAAGAAGCCCCGGCUAACUUCGUGCCAGCAGCCGCGGUAAUACGAAGGGGGCUAGCGUUGUUCGGAUUUACUGGGCGUAAAGCGCACGUAGGCGGUUUGUUAAGUCAGAGGUGAAAUCCCGGAGCUCAACUCCGGAACUGCCUUUGAUACUGGCAAGCUAGAGUCCGGAAGAGGUAAGUGGAACUCCUAGU